Molecule: long non-coding RNA, 1315 nt
Filed under: Mus musculus (house mouse)
Lineage: Eukaryota; Metazoa; Chordata; Mammalia; Rodentia; Muridae
Description: long non-coding RNA chr5:108231455-108232770
Source: RNAcentral
UAUUAGAGGUUUAAGAGCAAGAAAACUAGCAUGCCUUUAAUCCUAUCAGGGAGCAAGGGGCAGAUGGAUCUCUGUGAGUUCAAGGCUAACCUGUUUUACAGAAUGAGUUCCAAAAGAGCCAGAGCUAUAAAGAGAAACUCUGUCUCAGGAAAAAAGAAAUAGGAAAACUACAUGACGAAGUUAACUUAGAGAGUAGAAAAGUAUAAACACACCACCCUUCCAGGAAAGUUUAAUAGACUUACUAGACAGAUAGCCUUGUAAAAUACAGACCAGCUGGUAUUAUCUACCAGGAAGUUUACCAAGAACCUAUUUGGAACUUAUAAAUAUUACUCACAUCCAUCAUAUUUCCAAAACUUGUAGUAAAUAGUUCACAAAAUUUGAUUAUGAGAAGUGAUGGAAUUAGCCAAAGGGAAAACAAAGAAAAAAAAGAUGAAGCAAGAGAACAAGAAAGCCGGGUGUGGUGGCGCAUGCCUGUAGUCCCAGCACUUGGGAGGCAGAGGCAGGUGGAUUUCUGAGUUCAAGGCCAGCCUGGUCUACAGAGUGAGUUCCAGGACAGCCAGGGCUACACAGAGAAACCCUGUCUCGAAAAACCAAAAAAACAAAAAGAGAGAACAAGAAAAUAAGAACAUGAAUAUAUAGACCAUGUCAAAUUCAAGGUUUGGUAAGAUUUGACCUAUAUUUUUAAAACUCAAAGUCUUCCCUCUGUCUUUCUUCUUUUCUAUGAUUGUUGCAAAUAUUUCUCCUUUACUUUUUGCUUCAUUUUUCCAUAUUUGUAUAACCAGUUUGCCCUCCUUUACUGUGUAUAUUAGUAUGACAUUGAUGUCUGAAUAUUACUUCUUAAGAUUUAUAUUUAUUUUAUCAAUGAUUAUGUGUGUGUACAUGUGGAUUUAUGCACAAGUGAGUGUGUAAGCCUUCAGAGUCCAGAAGAAGCAUAGGAUCUCGUGGAGGUGGAGGUACAGGCCCUUGUGAGACACGAGUGCUGGAGUCAAACCCUGGUCUUUGAACUGCUUAGCCCUCUUUUCAGCCCCUGCAUCUAUAUUUUAUGUCCCUUGCCAGGAGCUUAAAACCUGGUUUAACUGUCUGUUUCUAUAUAAUCUCCAAACUUCCAUUUUUAUAACCAUGUAAUACAUUAUUGACAUUUUCUGAUUUUUUUCAAUUGGUUAAAUAUUUCCCACUUUAUCUUUAAAUUUUGUGCUUGAAUGUUAUGGUAGAUGUUAAUGAUAAAUCAAUAUGAUUUUAAUAUUCAUAAUAUUAACCUAUUAUUUUAUAUUAUUCUAGGGAGGAAAAUUGUAAUUAAAAGAAGAUGUCUAUGUCA